CACGUAGGGUGCGAGCGUUGUCCGGAAUUAUUGGGCGUAAAGAGCUCGUAGGCGGUGUGUCGCGUCGGCCGUGAAAACCUGCAGCUUAACUGUGGGCUUGCGGUCGAUACGGGCAUCACUGGAGUUCGGCAGGGGGAGACUGGAAUUCCUGGUGUAGCGGUGAAAUGCGCAGAUAUCGGGAGGAACACCUGAGGCGAAGGCGGGUUACUGGGCUGAUGACUGACGCUGAUGCGCGAAAGCCAGGGGAGCAAACGGG
Molecule: ribosomal RNA, 256 nt
Filed under: uncultured bacterium
Lineage: Bacteria
Description: partial 16S ribosomal RNA
Rfam family: Bacterial small subunit ribosomal RNA
Source: RNAcentral